UACGUAGGUGGCAAGCGUUGUCCGGAUUUAUUGGGCGUAAAGCGCGCGCAGGCGGUUUCUUAAGUCUGAUGUGAAAGCCCUCGGCUUAACCGAGGAGGGUCAUUGGAAACUGGGAGACUUGAGUGCAGAAGAGGAAAGUGGAAUUCCAAGUGUAGCGGUGAAAUGCGUAGAGAUUUGGAGGAACGCCAGUGGCGAAGGCGACUUUCUGGUCUGUAACUGACGCUGAGGCGCGAAAGCGUGGGGAGCGAACAGG
Molecule: ribosomal RNA, 253 nt
Filed under: uncultured bacterium
Lineage: Bacteria
Description: partial 16S ribosomal RNA
Rfam family: Bacterial small subunit ribosomal RNA
Source: RNAcentral